RNAcentral lists this ribosomal RNA (374 nucleotides) under Prionurus microlepidotus (sixplate sawtail). Its description in RNAcentral is "partial 12S ribosomal RNA". It matches the Rfam family "Bacterial small subunit ribosomal RNA", at positions 801 to 1384 of the family's 1533-position model. Lineage: Eukaryota; Metazoa; Chordata; Actinopteri; Acanthuriformes; Acanthuridae. The record is from RNAcentral.
CAUUGAUAAUAUUCUACAACUAUUAUCCGCCCGGGUACUACGAGCAUCAGCUUAAAACCCAAAGGACUUGGCGGUGCUUUAGAUCCACCUAGAGGAGCCUGUUCUAGAACCGAUAACCCCCGUUCAACCUCACCCUUCCUUGUUUCUCCCGCCUAUAUACCACCGUCGUCAGCUUACCCUGUGAAGGCUUAACAGUAAGCAAAAUUGGCACAGCCCAAAACGUCAGGUCGAGGUGUAGCGUAUGGAAGGGGAAGAAAUGGGCUACAUUCCCUAACUCAGUGCAUACGGACGACACACUGAAACACGUAUCUGAAGGAGGAUUUAGCAGUAAGCAGAAAAUAGAGUGUUCUGCUGAAACUGGCCCUGAAGCGCGC